RNAcentral lists this ribosomal RNA (628 nucleotides) under uncultured bacterium. RNAcentral describes it as "bacterial SSU rRNA". It matches the Rfam family "Bacterial small subunit ribosomal RNA", at positions 202 to 830 of the family's 1533-position model. The record is from RNAcentral.
UAAAGAUUCAUCGCUGAUAGAUAGGCAUGCGUUCCAUUAGGCAGUUGGCGGGGUAACGGCCCACCAAACCGACGAUGGAUAGGGGUUCUGAGAGGAAGGUCCCCCACAUUGGUACUGAGACACGGACCAAACUCCUACGGGAGGCAGCAGUGAGGAAUAUUGGUCAAUGGGCGUAAGCCUGAACCAGCCAAGUCGCGUGAGGGAUGAAGGUUCUAUGGAUCGUAAACCUCUUUUAUAAGGGAAUAAAGUGUGGGACGUGUCCUAUUUUGUAUGUACCUUAUGAAUAAGGAUCGGCUAACUCCGUGCCAGCAGCCGCGGUAAUACGGAGGAUCCGAGCGUUAUCCGGAUUUAUUGGGUUUAAAGGGUGCGUAGGCGGCCUUUUAAGUCAGCGGUGAAGGUCUGUGGCUCAACCAUAGAAUUGCCGUUGAAACUGGGGGGCUUGAGUAUGUUUGAGGCAGGCGGAAUGCGUGGUGUAGCGGUGAAAUGCUUAGAUAUCACGCAGAACCCCGAUUGCGAAGGCAGCCUGCCAAGCCAUGACUGACGCUGAUGCACGAAAGCGUGGGGAUCAAACAGGAUUAGAUACCCUGGUAGUCCACGCAGUAAACGAUGAUCACUAGCUGUUUGCGAU